RNAcentral lists this ribosomal RNA (490 nucleotides) under uncultured bacterium. RNAcentral describes it as "partial 16S ribosomal RNA". It matches the Rfam family "Bacterial small subunit ribosomal RNA", at positions 29 to 507 of the family's 1533-position model. The record is from RNAcentral.
AAUGAACGCUGGCGGCAUGCCUUACACAUGCAAGUCGAACGGCAGCAUGACCUAUCUUUCUAGUUUGAUUUCUAGUGUCGCACGUGUGUGUAAUGCAUCUGAACGUUCCUUUUUUUUGGGGUUAACGUAUCGAAAGUUACGCUAAUACCGCAUAUUCUCUGAUGAGUAAAGCUGGUGACCUUCUGUCCUUUCUCUUGAAUAUCUGCCGAUGUCGGAUUAGCUAGUUGGUGAGGUAAAAGCUCACCAAGGCAACGAUCCGUAGCGGGUCUGAGAGGAUGAUCAGCGACACUGGAACGGAGACACGGACCAGAGGACUACGGGAGGCAGCAGUGGGGAAUAUUGGACAAUGGGCGCAAGCAUGAUACAGCAAGGCCGAGUGAGUGAAGAAGGACUUCGGGUUGUAAAGAUAUUUAGGCAGGGAAGAAAAAGAACAAACUAAAAAAGGGAGAGGAUGACGGUAACAGAAUAAGAAGCAACGGCUAACUACGUG